AUACGUAGGGGGCGAGCGUUGUCCGGAAUGAUUGGGCGUAAAGGGCGCGUAGGCGGCGCGGUAAGUCUGGAGUGAAAGUCCUGCUUUCAAGAUGGGAAUUGCUUUGGAUACUGGGGGGCUUGAGUGCAGGAGAGGUUAUCGGAAUUCCCGGUGUAGCGGUGAAAUGCGUAGAGAUCGGGAGGAACACCAGUGGCGAAGGCGGGUAACUGGACUGCAACUGACGCUGAGGCGCGAAAGUGUGGGGAGCAAACAGGAUUAGUUACCCUGGUAGUCCACACUGUAAACGAUGAAUGCUAGGUGUAAGAGGUAUCGACCCCUUUUGUGCCGGAGUCAACACAAUAAGCAUUCCGCCUGGGGAGUACGGCCGCAAGGUUGAAACUCAAAUGAAUUGGCGGGG
This 397-nucleotide ribosomal RNA is filed under the name uncultured bacterium. RNAcentral's name for it is "partial 16S ribosomal RNA". It matches the Rfam family "Bacterial small subunit ribosomal RNA", at positions 523 to 918 of the family's 1533-position model. The record is from RNAcentral.